UGUGAGCAUGUGCGCGAGUGCACGUGCGCGCGCACGCACACACACACACACACACACACACACACAGAGCCCAGGGGAGCUGACUGAACACGCGGCCUGGGAACACUGGCCAUGAGGGUGCAGGCUCAGGCCACGCACGACCCUGCGGCCCUCCGUGCUGCUGAGUCCACAGCGUCCUCUGCCCCCCCACCCCCCGAGGCCGGCUGGACCUGGGCCCAGACCAGGACCUUGCAGGACAGUGACUGCUUCCUUGCUCAGGGAGCUCUGGUUCCAGGGGUGAGGAUAAGAAUGCUCUUUUGGGGGGCUACCAUGCAGCCCACUGCGGGUUGGUGCUAUAGACACGAGGGACCUGCCUACUGCAAAAACAAAACCAAACCAGAUUCUGGAAUCUGAGAAGCGGAAGUCGCCCGAGGCCUCCUCUUAUCGCUUGGAGCCGCUGGUCGCUAAGAAGGAAUGGGCAGGCGCUCAAGGGAGUGCAGUUUCCACCCGGCCCUGCGUAGCCCAAGACACGCACAGCUGAGGAUUACGCUGGGGGCAGAGGCAGAGAGACACGUCCACAGAGAAAGGCAGCAUCAGACGUGGGAAGCCCAGGAGGGCUUCCUGGAGGAGGGGGCUCCAGAGCUGAGUCCUAAAGGAGGCGCCAGUCAGGAGUGGGACUCAAGCUGAGCCCGGGUUCGAUGUUCUCUAACUCAGAGUCAGAGGAGGGGACGACUGCCCGGACUACUGUCUGUCUGCAGUCAGGCCGCCGGGUCCGCUCUGGGCGAGGCCGACUGCCCAGUGGCUCUGCGGGACCAGCACCAGAUCAGCCACCAAAGGUUGGACGCCCCUGACGCCCGCGGUUCUUAGAAAGGAGAUCCCGCGCCCCUGGCCCGCUGCCUCCCAUCUCCCCACGACACCUCCAUGCCUCGCAGGCUCCAUGACUCUCCAUGACUCACGCGGGCUUCAGGAGCUUCCAAACCAACCAGAUUUACAG
RNAcentral lists this long non-coding RNA (973 nucleotides) under Sus scrofa (pig). RNAcentral describes it as "lncRNA (ENSSSCG00065026440.1, ENSSSCG00180043484.1)". Lineage: Eukaryota; Metazoa; Chordata; Mammalia; Artiodactyla; Suidae. The record is from RNAcentral.